RNAcentral lists this ribosomal RNA (161 nucleotides) under uncultured Caldithrix sp. Its description in RNAcentral is "partial 16S ribosomal RNA". It matches the Rfam family "Bacterial small subunit ribosomal RNA", at positions 355 to 507 of the family's 1533-position model. Lineage: Bacteria; Pseudomonadati; Calditrichota; Calditrichia; Calditrichales; Calditrichaceae. The record is from RNAcentral.
UGAGGAAUAUUGCGCAAUGGGCGAAAGCCUGACGCAGCAACGCCGCGUGGGGGAUGAAUCUCUAUGGAGUGUAAACCCCUGUAAGCAGGGACGAAAGGUUUAUAUUCGACAAGGGUAUAGAUUUGACGGUACCUGCAGAGUAAGCUCCGGCUAACUCCGUG